AGCCUAUUAGCUCAAUUGGUAGAGCUAUGUUCUUUUGAACAUGAUGUAGGUUCGAAUCCUACAUAGGCUA
RNAcentral lists this transfer RNA (70 nucleotides) under Spinacia oleracea (spinach). It matches the Rfam family "tRNA". Rfam says of the family: Transfer RNA (tRNA) molecules are approximately 80 nucleotides in length. The record is from Rfam by way of RNAcentral. Lineage: Eukaryota; Viridiplantae; Streptophyta; Magnoliopsida; Caryophyllales; Amaranthaceae.